Molecule: ribosomal RNA, 496 nt
Filed under: uncultured bacterium
Lineage: Bacteria
Description: partial 16S ribosomal RNA
Rfam family: Bacterial small subunit ribosomal RNA
Source: RNAcentral
GAUGAACGCUGGCGGCGUGCCUAAUACAUGCAAGUCGAGCGAACAGAUAAGGAGCUUGCUCCUUUGACGUUAGCGGCGGACGGGUGAGUAACACGUGGGUAACCUACCUAUAAGACUGGGAUAACUUCGGGAAACCGGAGCUAAUACCGGAUAAUAUUUCGAACCGCAUGGUUCGAUAGUGAAAGAUGGUUUUGCUAUCACUUAUAGAUGGACCGGGCCGUAUUAGCCAGUUGGUAAGGUAACGGCUUACCAAGGCGACGAUACGUAGCCGACCUGAGAGGGUGAUCGGCCACACUGGAACUGAGACACGGUCCAGACUCCUACGGGAGGCAGCAGUAGGGAAUCUUCCGCAAUGGGCGAAAGCCUGACGGAGCAACGCCGCGUGAGUGAUGAAGGUCUUCGGAUCGUAAAACUCUGUUAUUAGGGAAGAACAUACGUGUAAGUAACUGUGCACGUCUUGACGGUACCUAAUCAGAAAGCCACGGCUAACUACGUG